RNAcentral lists this ribosomal RNA (468 nucleotides) under uncultured bacterium. RNAcentral's name for it is "partial 16S ribosomal RNA". It matches the Rfam family "Bacterial small subunit ribosomal RNA", at positions 28 to 507 of the family's 1533-position model. The record is from RNAcentral.
GACGAACGCUGGCGGCGUGCUUAACACAUGCAAGUCGAACGGAAAGGCCCGGCCUUGGUGGGGUGCUCGAGUGGCGAACGGGUGAGUAACACGUGGGUAACCUGCCCUUGACUGUGGGAUAACCUCAGGAAACUGGGGCUCAUAGCGGAUAGGAUCUCCUGCUGCUGGGUGGGGGUGGGAUAGUUUCGGCGGUUGGGGAUGGACUCGCGGCUUAUCAGCUUGUUGGAGUGGUAGUGGCUUACCAAGGCUUUGACGGGUAGCCGGGCUGGUCGGAUAACCGGCCCCACUAGGACUGGGCUGCGGCCCGGCCUCCUACGCUACGCAGCGCUGGAGUGUGGUACAUAGUGGGCGGAGCCCUAGUGCAGCCAAGCAGUGCGCGGGAUGACAGCAUGCGGUUAGUAUUCCGCAUCCGCCUGUGCCGAGACGUGAGUGACGGUACUGGGUGAAGAAGCACCGGCUAACUCCGUG